CGUACUGCACAUUGUAUUGUGUCUUGAUCGGUAAAAAACAAAAUUCCCUAACAUAUACCUUUGGCUUGAGUCCUAGAAUUUUGUUUUUCUUUUUUUUUCUUUUUCAAGAAUUGAGCACUUGAUCACCAUUUGGGACCAUCACCAUCACCAUGUGUGCCAUCCUUGCUCAAUUUUUGGAUGUAGACAACAUAACUUGUCUCAUACACAACACUAGAAUUUAGAGGCCAGUCCACUUGGUUGUCUCAAUUAUCCAAAACCAGAUAUAGGGCUUUCAAUGUUCUACCAUGAUAUUAUUGUACUUACAAUAUCAUAAGUGUGCCACAUAUAUCUAGCAUUUACGUGUCACACACUAGGGUUAUAUUUGCUCUUUCUCCAAUGAAAUGCAAGUACAUGUGGCGCACACAUUUAUAGUUGAUGAGAUCUCAAAUCUAUCAUGCUACGACUAGAGGCAAAAAAAUUCACAGAUAUAUCACACAAUAUGGAAACUUGAUAUUAAUGGUCAAUUGACACAUUCAUGUUAGAAGACUCAACCGUACCUUUGGUACCAUCAACUCAACACGCGGCCUUGUAACACAUCUACAAUCCAAUUCCAUGGGCUACCAAUUUGUGCCAUUACCCAAAAAGAAACCUUCAUUUUCCUAAGGAAAAAGUUGGCAGUUUCAAGAAGGAAAACAAAAAUUGCACAAGACCAGAGAAAACGGUAAUGGUACCUAUAAGACGUCCGUCCGUCCUGUCCACUCAUUUUGUUGCUCCCCCACGCCUUCCCAUCCACUCAUUUCUUUCAUCUCCACUCUUCUCUCACAUCUCGCUGCCACUUCCACCGCUCGCACCAUGCGGCCGCACUUUCUGCCAUGCGCGAGCCGCUCCUCCCUCCUUUUCUCCCUCCCUCCCCGCUGCGACCCACACGCCCUCCAUGCCGCCGGAGUAGAGCACGACGGUGGCAGCUUUCAGUGAGCGGCGCAACUCCCUUCCUCCCUGCUCUUUCUCCCUUGCUCUCGUGACCUCCAUGCAUCUGGAGAUGGAGAUAACGACGCGGCUCCGACGAGGUAGGUGGGGAGGGAUUUGGAUCUGAAGCCUUUCUCUCUCUUUUCCCUCUCUCCUCUUUGUGGAUCUGGAUCUGAGCCCUCCUCUGCUCCUCCUCCACCUCUUGCUCCUCCUGCUCUUCCUCUGGAUCUAGAUCUACGGGAUAUUGUGUUGGCCAGGGUUUCAGUGAGCUCUUGGGAUUCAGUGCUCGUACAUGUUCUAAUGGUGUUCUCUGGUUUUUUGCAGUAUGUUUUUCAGGUGAUGUUGCAGUAGGAUAGGGUUCCGGCGAGCUCUCGGGUUCAGAUCUCGUCAUUGUUGCAAUGGUUCUAUCUAGAUGUUGCAGUAGGUUUUAGUCGUUGUUGCAGUUUUGUGUUUUGAGAUGUUGUUUCAGUUGCUUCAGUCUGCAUGUUGUAGUAGUUUGUUUUAUGUUGUUACAACAUUUGUUCAGUGUUGUUGUAGUACUAUGUCCAUGGUGUUUUAGUUGCUCCAUCCAAUGCUUUAAUCUGCACUGUUGUAUUAGUUGUUGCAUGUUGUUGCAACAAUUGGUCGAUGUUGUUGUAAUACUAUGUCUAUGGUGUUUCAGUUGCUCCAUCUAAUGGUUCAAACUAUGCUGUUGUAUUAGUUGUUACAUGUUGUUGCAACAGCCGUUCUUUGUUGUUGUAAUACUAUAUUUAUGGUGUUUCGGUUGCUCCAUCUAAUGCUUCAACCUAUGUUGUUGUAUUAGUUGUUACAUGUUGUUGCAACAGCCGUUCUUUGUUGUUGUAAUACUAUAUUUAUGGUGUUUCAGCUGUUCUAUCCAAUACUUCAAUCUGUAUGUUGUAGC
This 1846-nucleotide long non-coding RNA is filed under the name Sorghum bicolor (sorghum). RNAcentral describes it as "long non-coding RNA (SBIC_LNC007610)". The record is from RNAcentral. Lineage: Eukaryota; Viridiplantae; Streptophyta; Magnoliopsida; Poales; Poaceae.